This 491-nucleotide ribosomal RNA is filed under the name uncultured bacterium. Its description in RNAcentral is "partial 16S ribosomal RNA". It matches the Rfam family "Bacterial small subunit ribosomal RNA", at positions 29 to 507 of the family's 1533-position model. The record is from RNAcentral.
GUGAACGCUGGCGGGAGGCCUAACACAUGCAAGUCGAACGGCAGCACAGUAAGAGCUUGCUCUUACGGGUGGCGAGUGGCGGACGGGUGAGGAAUACAUCGGAAUCUACUUUUUCGUGGGGGAUAACGUAGGGAAACUUACGCUAAUACCGCAUACGACCUACGGGUGAAAGCAGGGGAUCUUCGGACCUUGCGCGAUUGAAUGAGCCGAUGUCGGAUUAGCUAGUUGGCGGGGUAAAGGCCCACCAAGGCGACGAUCCGUAGCUGGUCUGAGAGGAUGAUCAGCCACACUGGAACUGAGACACGGUCCAGACUCCUACGGGAGGCAGCAGUGGGGAAUAUUGGACAAUGGGCGCAAGCCUGAUCCAGCCAUACCGCGUGGGUGAAGAAGGCCUUCGGGUUGUAAAGCCCUUUUGUUGGGAAAGAAAAGCAGCAGGUUAAUACCCCGCUGUUCUGACGGUACCCAAAGAAUAAGCACCGGCUAACUUCGUG